CAAGCAGUGGAGCAUGUGGUUUAAUUCGCAUUGAAUCUUAUCAGGACUUGAAAUGUCGUGAAUUCUCUUGAAAGAGAGAGGUGCCUUCGAAAUGCAGACAAAGAUGGUGCAUGACUAUCGUCAGCUCGUAUAGUAAGGUGUUGGAUUAAGUCCCGCAACGAGACCUUAGCAGGGCUUGACAUGCCGUGAAUUCUUUUGAAAGGGAGGGGUGCCUUCGGGAACGUGGGUACGGAUGGUGCAUGGCUGUUGUCAGUUCGUGCGUAAGGUGUUGGGUAGAGGGGUGCCUUCGGGAACACGGACAAAGAUGGUGCAUGACUGUUGUCAGUUCGUGGCGUAAGGUACCUCGUGUUUUAUUGCGAUCAUUGAAUUUUGAAUCCUGGACAGAUUGCCGAUGAUAAGCCAGCGGAAUGUGAGGAUGACGUCAAGUCAUCAUGCCCCUUAUGCCUAGGGCGACACACGUGCUACAGUGGAUGGGACAAAGGGUCAUGAUCUUGCGAGGGUGAGCUAGCUCCAAAAAUCUGUCUGCAGUUCGGAUUGCAGACAGCAACUCGCCAGCAUGAAGCCGGAGUCUGAAGGAAAUUUCAGAUUGGAUCUCUGAAAUCAGUCAG
This 608-nucleotide non-coding RNA is filed under the name Ananas comosus (pineapple). Its description in RNAcentral is "Bacterial small subunit ribosomal RNA". It matches the Rfam family "Bacterial small subunit ribosomal RNA", at positions 926 to 1370 of the family's 1533-position model. Lineage: Eukaryota; Viridiplantae; Streptophyta; Magnoliopsida; Poales; Bromeliaceae. The record is from Rfam by way of RNAcentral.